This is a long non-coding RNA of Passer domesticus (house sparrow), 4680 nucleotides long. RefSeq lists it as uncharacterized. The record is from RefSeq and is a predicted model, not a curated record. Lineage: Eukaryota; Metazoa; Chordata; Aves; Passeriformes; Passeridae. The transcript is spliced from 3 exons.
GUCAAGGAUUUUUCAGUUUCCCAUGCUCUGACAAGGUGCAGGUGCACAAGAAGCUGGGAGGGGGAUGUUCAAUGCCACAGAACAUCAUUCUCAGUGUAUAAGAUGGGAGGAUUGGCUGUGACGGAUGAAUCCCUGCUCAGGGACAUGCUGUGCAUCAGUCAGCAGGGGAGUUCUUAAUUAUGCGUCAUAUUUUCUGGUGAACGGCCACUGGAGAGGAGAUAAAGCAUCCAUUACAGUUUUUGGAACUAAGGAUAAUUAUUCAAUGAAACCAAGUAAUGUAAGUGCAUUGUGAUAUUAUCGACCAUGGGAGAGAUGCUGCAGAAUUGCAGUGAAGAGGAAUAUGGUCUUUCAGACAAGACAUGAGCCAACAAGCCAUCAAAACAGCAAAAUUAGCUUCUGCUUAUUUUUCCACUUACUGACAAUGUCUUUGGGCAUCUAGGAGACAAAAUAUCAUUAAAAAACCUGCAAGAAAUAGAUUUCCCCAACAUGUAAUCAAAUCCCCUCUCUACUGCAAAUAUUUCUUAAGUCUGACUUGGAGCUUUUCAGCUCUGUAGCUGAUUUACAGAGUGUGUACACCCACACUAAGUUUAGUCACUAGACUCCAUAUGAGAAGCUAAACCUCAUUUGCUGACUGAAAAUUUACCGCAAAGCAGAAAACAGCAGGAAAUUCAUCAAACAUCUCUCACAAGGACACAAAUUGCUUAAAGGUGACUUUCCAGUCAUUUUGGAAACAUUUAAGAAUAUUGCUCUUUCUUUUCCCUGCAUAAAAAAGGGCUUAAACUCAUUGAUCUGAGUGCAAGAGGCAAACCCAUUUCUCUUCCCACUCGCUUUUACUUUAAAAUAUUAGCCAUGCAAGAAAAUAUCCCCUUUCAGACCCUUGGAAUAUUAUUUGGCCUGUGACACUUGAAGCGUUUGAUAGAACUAAAUCUUUCAAAACAACCCUGCUUUAUACCAUUAGAGAUACAGCUUAUACAAACCAACAAAACCUCCAGUGUCCAGCUGAGUGCCUCAUGGCACUUGGAUAAUUCUACAACACGUGCAGAUUAUUCCACAGCAGGGCAUGAUUAUUACCUCUGUGUAGCCUGCUGCAUUGUCAGGUGGUUCUAGUGUGCCCCUUUCCAUAUUAAAGGGUGAUGACUGCCAGAUUUGAUAGAUUAAGAUGAAGAUUUUCAGUGGUUUGCUGACCAUGGUUGUUUUGGGGACAUGGAUGGUUUUUAUUGUGAAUUCUGAACCAAAGGAGUGGGGGAAAGGAAGGGGCAAACUGGGAUACAGAGUCCUAGGUACCAUAAUUAUUCACCAGAAAUCUGAUUUUUGGGAGGCCCAUAGAAGAUACCACCACACAUACCAGGCCGUAAAACAUUUCCAUGUGUUCGAGUUUGAGACUGAAAGAAAAACAUUGCAAGAAUUCUGAGUAAAUGGUGGGGAAGAAUAAGUGAGAUCACAAGUUUUGUCAGUUUCUACAGCCCCUUGUGCAGCAAUGGAUUAGCGGAGUGAAACUGCCAUAGAUUCAACAAAACAAGUGUAUUUUCACACUGCAGAACAAAGGACAGAAAAGGCCCGAGGUUUCUUACUAAUAUUAGUUUUCUGUAAAUUUCCCCCUAAGAGUUUUGAAAGAACGGGAACAUGAGGCACUGAUGGUUCUGACUCAACCUCAAUGUGUAGAAAAAUUCCAAUACUUUCACAUUCUCAGUGGUAUAUAUAUAUAUUUUUUUAUUAAUUUAUUUUUUUUCCUUAAAAAAACCCAACCCACUCACAGCAUUGGGUUAACUAUUUAGUUUUACAGUACAUCUAUUCAUAAAUAUAAGGAUAUGAAAAUAAAAUAAGAGAAUAAGAACACCUGAGUUUUUUUCAUUAGCACUACACAAGAGUUUGAUUAAGAUACUAAGGGAAAAAGAAGGAUCAAUUCUCAAUUCUUUUCUGCAGAACAUCAUCUGUGUCUCCAUGGAAUGUUUAUUUUACAUAGGGACUUCAAGGCACACCAGCAUAUAGUAAUUAAUUAUUGUGUAAAGAGCUGAUAUUUAUAGGGAGAAUAGAAACUUGCACUCACACAGCUUGGUGGGAGAUUCCGUCCAUGUAGGAAUCUCACAUCAAAAACCAAAAUAAAAUUAAAUAAUGUAACACAAAACAAUGCAAAAAGGUACCAAGAACAGGUAGUGCAGGGGGAUUACAGAGAAAGUGUCCAAGCAGCCAGGGAUCAGAUCCUGAAGGAAUCCCAGAGGUUCCACUGCCAUUGCUCAUGGACCCAGCCUUGAGCAGCACUUGCUCUGAUGACAGAGGGGAAGCCUCUGGGAACUUCUCAGAAAACCCACCCCUGCAGCCCUUUGCUACCAAAACCUGGCCACACAAACCCAGUACAAAUUCACUGCCUGUGCUUUAUAAAGCAGAACAUUGCUGCACACUGAAUAACAGCAAAGCCAAGCACUGGUUUCCCACAUUUAUCUUUUUCCACUUAGGCUGCUAUCUGAGAUUAUCCAGCUCUUUUGGCAACUUGUUCAGCUUUUAGCAAUGUCCCCCACAGGUCAUAGGAAUACGUUUCUACAGUUUCCCACUGUAAAGAAAGGUCUGCUAUGGUGAAGUUGCCCACGUGCCUUUUGAACAACCUGUGGGAUUGUCGCUGUAACUAAAAUUGUCAAGUCUUAAGUCAAAUAAAAAAUAUCAUGGCAUUUAGCACAAAAAAUAAGCAAAUACAAGAAAACCCAAGAGAAUGCUGAAAAUCUAAGGGUCUACUAGAAAAAAAUCAACAAUUUUUAGACAUGCACAGAUGUGUGAAAUGAAAAUUAAAUUAGAGAGCCAAGUGGAAAGCUUAUGUUGAGAAAACAGAGAACUUAAAUCUUAAACAGCAUACAUACAGACACAGUGGAAGCUGAGUUGAGUGUCCCUCUAGGCUGUUGCAAAUUGAAUAGACAUUGAUGGAUUUGUUUUCCUUUCAGAUUAAAUUGAACUUUUGAUUUGGAAGUAGUUUACCUGCUCCUGUACUUGAAAGCUACAUUUUUUCUUAACUAAUUUUCUCUUGUUAAGGUACUUUAGUUUUAUAGUGGUUUAUAGUGGUUUACAAAUUGACACUGUAAUCAUCUGGAAGGAGCAGGGAAAGAAAAUCAUACAAAUUAUACUUUUCUGUAUUGCUUUACCCUCACAGUGGCUUGCCCUGUUUUUAAGAAGAUCAUUUUGUGCUGUUAUGCUUUUCAAUACACUUGAACUGAUUUCUAAAGUAAGAUAUCACAGCUUGCACAAAACACAAACCUUUCUGACCAUUUUAAGGUGCUGUUGCAUUACAUAAUAAUGUAAAUAACAUAAAUAAUUGUUCUAUUCUCAAAAGGUGUUGGUAUUCACUAUCAGCCUAGAGCUUCUGGCUGUGCAAACUUUGCAGACUUUAUACUUUUCGCUCUUCUAGCCCUUGCAGAGGUCUCAGACCUGUCCUUACACCUGUUCUGCCUACUCCUGGGCUUGGGCAUCUCUUCAUCCCAGCUCUGGAUCAUCUCACUAAGCAUGAUUCAGGGAAGCAUGUUGCUCUGCCCUGAAUCUUACAUCAGACUCAAGAUCAUGUCCUGUCUCGUGGGAAUGUGCUGUCAUGCCCUGGUUGGGCUCAAUGCCUGACAUGUCCCACUCUGAGACAGCAUCACGGGAUUAAAUUGGCAGGCAGGAGUGAAUUUUUCCAACAGUGACUUCAGUGUUGCUUUCCUAAAGGGCUGAGAGGUCUCCAAAUGCUUCCAGUGCAACUUCUGUGUGUGGAGAGCAGUCUAUUGAGGUGGAUGGCCUUCUGUCUAGCCUGAUCCUGUCCAGUUUAGAAACUUUCUAGCCAGCAGAAAACCUUACUUCAUCCCAGGAAACACAUGUUUUGAAAAGAGAAAAUUUUGUACUUGUUUUGUCAUUAUUAUCUUGAGAAGAGUGACAUCAAGGUAUUCCAGCCAGGACUGAGAUGCUGUUUGGACACAUCGUGAGCUAUAUUCCUUUCUAGGAAAGAAUAAAAACUGUUUUCCAAUCUAAAUUCAUAAGUAGAGAAAUAAUUAUUGUAUCCUACUGGCAUGCAGAGGAACUAAAGCACAGAGAGCUUGUUUGGCCUAGCUCUAAUCGUACAUUGGGUAUGUGGGGGAGCUGAAAAUCAGAUUUUCCAACACCAUUUUAGUUGCCAUACCACAGAUACUAAGCAUCAGUAUUAUCAAAUUAAAUAUUAAGACCCUACUUGUUUAGGCUACUCUGUCACUAAAUUCUACAGGAAUAUUCACAUACAGGAAACUAAGGUUUAAACUCACUCCAACAAAAUAACAACAAGUGGUUUGGUGACUGUGUUGAGAAUAUGAUCCUAACUUACAGGUGACUACAGGAGAAUAUGGUCCUAAGUUAUAUAGACUGGUUGGACCAACAUUCAGGAGCACUAUGAAUUAUAAUUGUACUUUAACCUUUCAGGAAGGCCACCAGAUUUCCUUUGCUUUGCACAGAGAUUUUCUUUGCUACAUGGUAUUUAGAACAUCUGUCUGUUCCAGGGAAAUAGCAGUCAGUGGGUUUUCUGCUUCAUGCACAGAUUAAUCUCUUAACAUCAAAAAUUAAUGACUUAUGUUCAAUGUAAAGAGAAAAAAAUCUUUGAUUACCAGAGCAUCCUGCCACAAUCCCUCCCAUGCCUUUCUUUUCAGGUGUUUUCCUCAGGAUAUAGGGAAGUGAAGGUGAAGAGAGAAUCCUGAGGUA